AGAGUUUGAUCAUGGCUCAGGACGAACGCUGGCGGCGUGCUUAACACAUGCAAGUCGAACGGGGUAUCAGGGUAGUAAUACCCGAAGUACCUAGUGGCGAACGGGUGCGUAACACGUGAGCAACCUACCCCAGAGCUUGGAAUAACACCGGGAAACCGGUGCUAAUACCGAAUACUCUCAUUCGGCCGCAUGACUGAAUGAGGAAAGAUUUAUCACUCUGGGACGGGCUCGCGGCCUAUCAGCUUGUUGGUGAGGUAACGGCUCACCAAGGCUACGACGGGUAGCUGGUCUGAGAGGACGAUCAGCCACACUGGGACUGAGACACGGCCCAGACUCCUACGGGAGGCAGCAGUGGGGAAUAUUGCGCAAUGGGCGAAAGCCUGACGCAGCAACGCCGCGUGGAGGAUGAAGGCUUUCGGGUUGUAAACUCCUUUCAGCAGGGACGAAACUGACGGUACCUGCAGAAGAAGCCCCGGCUAACUACGUGCCAGCAGCCGCGGUGAGACGUAGGGGGCAAGCGUUGUCCGGAUUUAUUGGGCGUAAAGAGCUCGUAGGCGGCUUGGCAAGUCGGAUGUGAAAUCUCCAGGCUUAACCUGGAGUCGCCAUCCGAUACUGCUAUGGCUAGAGUCCGGUAGAGGAUCGUGGAAUUCCUGGUGUAGCGGUGAAAUGCGCAGAUAUCAGGAGGAACACCAACGGCGAAGGCAGCGAUCUGGGCCGGUACUGACGCUGAGGAGCGAAAGCGUGGGGAGCGAACAGGAUUAGAUACCCUGGUAGUCCACGCCCUAAACGUUGGGCACUAGGUGUGGGGCCUAUUUCGACGGGUUCCGUGCCGUAGCUAACGCAUUAAGUGCCCCGCCUGGGGAGUACGGUCGCAAGGCUAAAACU
This 885-nucleotide ribosomal RNA is filed under the name uncultured bacterium. RNAcentral's name for it is "bacterial SSU rRNA". It matches the Rfam family "Bacterial small subunit ribosomal RNA", at positions 8 to 901 of the family's 1533-position model. The record is from RNAcentral.